UCUUUGCUGAUGAUAACUUUGAUAGGGACAUCUGAAGUCCUAUGACUGAUUUAUCAAUAUUUAUUUACUGAAUA
Molecule: small nucleolar RNA, 74 nt
Organism: Drosophila busckii
Lineage: Eukaryota; Metazoa; Arthropoda; Insecta; Diptera; Drosophilidae
Rfam family: Small nucleolar RNA Me28S-Cm2645
About the family: Me28S-Cm2645 is a member of the C/D class of snoRNA which contain the C (UGAUGA) and D (CUGA) box motifs. This family directs 2'-O-methylation of 28S C-2645.
Source: Rfam